RNAcentral lists this ribosomal RNA (253 nucleotides) under uncultured bacterium. RNAcentral describes it as "partial 16S ribosomal RNA". It matches the Rfam family "Bacterial small subunit ribosomal RNA", at positions 524 to 776 of the family's 1533-position model. The record is from RNAcentral.
UACGGGGGGGGCAAGCGUUGUUCGGAAUUACUGGGCGUAAAGGGUGCGUAGGCGGCGCGGUAAGUCGGGUGUGAAAUCUCGGAGCUUAACUCCGAAACUGCAUUCGAUACUGCCGUGCUUGAGGACUGGAGAGGAGACUGGAAUUCCUGGUGUAGCGGUGAAAUGCGCAGAUAUCAGGAGGAACACCGGUGGCGAAGGCGGGUCUCUGGGCCGAUACUGACGCUGAGGAGCGAAAGCGUGGGGAGCGAACAGG